GAUGAACGCUGGCGGCGUGCCUAAUACAUGCAAGUCGAGCGAACGGACGAGAAGCUUGCUUCUCUGAUGUUAGCGGCGGACGGGUGAGUAACACGUGGAUAACCUACCUAUAAGACUGGGAUAACUUCGGGAAACCGGAGCUAAUACCGGAUAAUAUUUUGAACCGCAUGGUUCAAAAGUGAAAGACGGUCUUGCUGUCACUUAUAGAUGGAUCCGCGCUGCAUUAGCUAGUUGGUAAGGUAACGGCUUACCAAGGCAACGAUGCACAGCCGACCUGAGAGAGUGAUCGGCCACACUGGAACUGAGACACGGUCCAGACUCCUACGGGAGGCAGCAGUAGGGAAUCUGCCGCAAUGGGCGAAAGCCUGACGGAGCAACGCCGCGUGAGUGAUGAAGGUCUUCGGAUCGUAAAACUCUGUUAUUAGGGAAGAACAUAUGUGUAAGUAACUGUGCACAUCUUGACGGUACCUAAUCAGAAAGCCACGGCUAACUACGUG
RNAcentral lists this ribosomal RNA (497 nucleotides) under uncultured bacterium. RNAcentral's name for it is "partial 16S ribosomal RNA". It matches the Rfam family "Bacterial small subunit ribosomal RNA", at positions 28 to 507 of the family's 1533-position model. The record is from RNAcentral.